RNAcentral lists this ribosomal RNA (1036 nucleotides) under Micrococcus endophyticus. Its description in RNAcentral is "bacterial SSU rRNA". It matches the Rfam family "Bacterial small subunit ribosomal RNA", at positions 46 to 1096 of the family's 1533-position model. Lineage: Bacteria; Bacillati; Actinomycetota; Actinomycetes; Micrococcales; Micrococcaceae. The record is from RNAcentral.
GCUUACCAUGCAGUCGAACGAUGAAGCCCAGCUUGCUGGGUGGAUUAGUGGCGAACGGGUGAGUAACACGUGAGUAACCUGCCCUUAACUCUGGGAUAAGCCUGGGAAACUGGGUCUAAUACCGGAUAGGAGCGUCCACCGCAUGGUGGGUGUUGGAAAGAUUUAUCGGUUUUGGAUGGACUCGCGGCCUAUCAGCUUGUUGGUGAGGUAAUGGCUCACCAAGGCGACGACGGGUAGCCGGCCUGAGAGGGUGACCGGCCACACUGGGACUGAGACACGGCCCAGACUCCUACGGGAGGCAGCAGUGGGGAAUAUUGCACAAUGGGCGAAAGCCUGAUGCAGCGACGCCGCGUGAGGGAUGACGGCCUUCGGGUUGUAAACCUCUUUCAGUAGGGAAGAAGCGAAAGUGACGGUACCUGCAGAAGAAGCACCGGCUAACUACGUGCCAGCAGCCGCGGUAAUACGUAGGGUGCGAGCGUUAUCCGGAAUUAUUGGGCGUAAAGAGCUCGUAGGCGGUUUGUCGCGUCUGUCGUGAAAGUCCGGGGCUUAACCCCGGAUCUGCGGUGGGUACGGGCAGACUAGAGUGCAGUAGGGGAGACUGGAAUUCCUGGUGUAGCGGUGGAAUGCGCAGAUAUCAGGAGGAACACCGAUGGCGAAGGCAGGUCUCUGGGCUGUAACUGACGCUGAGGAGCGAAAGCAUGGGGAGCGAACAGGAUUAGAUACCCUGGUAGUCCAUGCCGUAAACGUUGGGCACUAGGUGUGGGGACCAUUCCACGGUUUCCGCGCCGCAGCUAACGCAUUAAGUGCCCCGCCUGGGGAGUACGGCCGCAAGGCUAAAACUCAAAGGAAUUGACGGGGGCCCGCACAAGCGGCGGAGCAUGCGGAUUAAUUCGAUGCAACGCGAAGAACCUUACCAAGGCUUGACAUGUUCUCGAUCGCCGUAGAGAUACGGUUUCCCCUUUGGGGCGGGUUCACAGGUGGUGCAUGGUUGUCGUCAGCUCGUGUCGUGAGAUGUUGGGUUAAGUCCCGCAACGAG